This 465-nucleotide ribosomal RNA is filed under the name uncultured bacterium. RNAcentral's name for it is "partial 16S ribosomal RNA". It matches the Rfam family "Bacterial small subunit ribosomal RNA", at positions 338 to 795 of the family's 1533-position model. The record is from RNAcentral.
CCUACGGGUGGCAGCAGUGGGGAAUAUUGCGCAAUGGGCGAAAGCCUGACGCAGCGACGCCGCGUGAGGGAUGAAGGUCUUCGGAUCGUAAACCUCUGUCAGCAGGGAAGAACGGUCACUGUGCUAAUCAGCAGUGACUUGACGGUACCUGCAAAGGAAGCACCGGCUAACUCCGUGCCAGCAGCCGCGGUAAUACGGAGGGUGCAAGCGUUAAGCGGAAUUACUGGGCGUAAAGCGCUCGUAGGCGGUAUGUCAAGUCAAGGGUGAAAUCCCCGCGCUCAACGUGGGAACUGCAUUUGAAACUGGCAAACUGGAGUGUGUAAGAGGAUAGUGGAAUUCCAGGUGUAGGAGUGAAAUCCGUAGAUAUCUGGAGGAACAUCAGUGGCGAAGGCGACUAUCUGGCACAUAACUGACGCUGAGGAGCGAAAGCGUGGGUAGCAAACAGGAUUAGAUACCCGGGUAGUC